GACGUAGGGGCGGAGCGAUGUCCGAAGGUACUGGGCGUAAAGAGCGCGUAGGCGGCCUCUUAAGUUGGGUGCGAAAUCCUGCGGCCCAACCGCAGAACUGCAUCCAAAACUGGGAGGCUUGAGGACGGAAGAGGGCAGUGGAAUUCCUGGUGUAGCGGUGAAAUGCGUAAAUACCAGGAGGAACACCCGUGGCGAAGGCGGCUGCCUGGUCCGUAUCUGACGCUGAGGUGCGAAAGCCAGGGGAGCGAACGGG
This 253-nucleotide ribosomal RNA is filed under the name uncultured bacterium. RNAcentral describes it as "partial 16S ribosomal RNA". It matches the Rfam family "Bacterial small subunit ribosomal RNA", at positions 524 to 776 of the family's 1533-position model. The record is from RNAcentral.